GUUAGUCUCCCUUAUGCUUAGAUUCUAAUCGAAGGAUGCCCGUCAGCUUACUCCUCUUUCUUGCUUUGAUUUGCUACUCGUUCCAAUAACUCGGUUUCAUUUAAUCCCUAAAUGUCUUUGUAAAUUUGUUUCCUAACUUUGCAUUCAUUGUGAUUAUGCAAUUUGUCGUGAAAUCUGAAAUAUGUCAAGAGCUUGACAAACCUGUUUGAUGUAAUUAAUUAUCAGGCGUUACCGAUAAUUGUUAGCCUCCUUCAAUGUGCG
Molecule: unclassified non-coding RNA, 261 nt
Filed under: Hevea brasiliensis (rubber tree)
Lineage: Eukaryota; Viridiplantae; Streptophyta; Magnoliopsida; Malpighiales; Euphorbiaceae
Source: RNAcentral